Molecule: long non-coding RNA, 651 nt
Organism: Micropterus salmoides (largemouth bass)
Lineage: Eukaryota; Metazoa; Chordata; Actinopteri; Centrarchiformes; Centrarchidae
Exons: 2
Source: RefSeq, a predicted model, not a curated record
AUUUGGGUUGCUUGUGAUCCCAGGCUCACUGUUAGUGUGGCCCUUUCCCUCCACAUGUGGACGGGCGGCUGCUUGCCAGUGUAGGCUUCCUGCAGGGUUGGACUGUCCUUUCGGAGCAUCGGGGGUGUCCAUUCGUUGUUAAUCAUGGGCAUGGAGCCAUCCUGAAGUGUGCAGUCAGUCUCUUGCCUGCACAAUGGAGGAAAAGCUGCCUUGCUGCUUUCUAUACAUGCUAUAUAACCUCCUUUUUAUGUACAUGAUAAAAGUUCUGUUGGGCUCUUUUAAUGUAAGCUUGAAUGUGAAAGUGUGAUUGGGAAUGAGCUAACUGUCUCUGUUAGCUCAGUUUUUAGCAGUCUGUUGUAAAUAUUAUUAAUAUAUUUUGUUUGUUUUCUUUCUACUUGAAGGAAACUUUAUUUCUGUUGUAAGUUUGCUUUAGAUUUAAAUUGACAGUUUGGUUUUUGUUGAACUAAUUGAUUUCGCUUUUGUCUGACUUAAAAGUAGUUUUCGUCUAUUAACUUGUUUCGUGUCGCAGUUCUGUCCGUAUGUCUUAAACGGUAUGCAUGUUGUGAAAAGCCUUUUAAAAAGGAAACAUAAAAAUAAAAGGAACUGUGGUGUGAAUGGAACAACGCCUCUGACCUUCCCCCCUCCAAGUAA